Molecule: unclassified non-coding RNA, 209 nt
Filed under: Clavicorona taxophila
Lineage: Eukaryota; Fungi; Basidiomycota; Agaricomycetes; Agaricales; Clavariaceae
Description: internal transcribe spacer 2
Source: RNAcentral
AUCUCUCAACACAACAAGUUUAUUUCUUGCUGUGCUUGGAUGUUGAAGGCUGCCGGCGUCAUUGUCAGCUCCUUUUAAAURCAUUAGCGGAACUAUGUAGGACCAGCUUCGGUUUGAUAAUCCUUUAUCUAUGCUGUCGCUGAGAAACGUUUGUUCAGCUUCUAAUUGUCCCUUAGUGGACUGUCUCCUUGCUGAGGCAUAACCUUGAC